UGGAGAGCCACCUACUGAAGUAUUUUC
Molecule: non-coding RNA, 27 nt
Filed under: Homo sapiens (human)
Lineage: Eukaryota; Metazoa; Chordata; Mammalia; Primates; Hominidae
Source: RNAcentral